This 1274-nucleotide long non-coding RNA is filed under the name Volvox carteri. RNAcentral's name for it is "long non-coding RNA (VCAR_LNC002947)". The record is from RNAcentral. Lineage: Eukaryota; Viridiplantae; Chlorophyta; Chlorophyceae; Chlamydomonadales; Volvocaceae.
AAAGUACCAGCACUGUUUGCGGGGCAAGCAACUUCACCUAAUGUACCUGAAAGCCCAGUUUCAACAUGCCCUAUGGCAUAAACAUGCCGGUUACCGACCGUUUGGGGCCCAUUAACCCAACCGGCCAGUUGAAUGGCGUUAACGGCCCGGUUGGGUUAACGGUCGGUUGGGUUAAUGGCCAGUUGGGUUAACGGUCGGUUGGGUUAAUGGUCAGUUGGGUUAAUGGUCGGUCUGGACUGUGUGUAAGAACUUGCUUGAAUUGUUACAGCUACCCAGUCCAGGUAUUCAUCCUACCUAGCACCCUGCCUGCAUGCCUACACACCUGGGACAGUACUGUUAUCACUGCCUCCCACAUCAUCUUGGCACCAUGCCCUUAAGCAUAUUCAUACCUAAAUUUAUCCUUGUCAUACUUAAUGUGUGCACAGCACUGUCACCCGUGUCACCUGGCAUUCACCUUGACUGCACAAGGCCAUGUGUGCACACACCUGUCACCUGGAAUCUGCAUAAACCUGCCUGUGCAAGGCUGUCACCUCUGUCACAAGCCUGCACGCAUUGUUGUCACCCCUGUCACCCACCAUCCACAACAGCCAUCACGCAAUGUUGUCACCCCUCUCACCCGGCCUUUCAAUGUAUUCUGGGCCCAGAAGCCCCACUCUCAAGCCUGCACGCAUUAUUGUCACCCCUGUCACCCGGCAUUUCAAUUGUUGCCCAUAAGCAUGAACCAGGCCACCAACUCACAAGCUUACAUGCAACAACUAAAACCAGGCAAUACUAGCUACGCAAGCUAUGCUAGGACAAACUUUCAAGACGACCAGAGCAGCAUGAGAGCGGACGAGCUUUUGUGCUAGCAGGGUCAGCCAUGAGACAUGCCAUAGGAUCCGAUGUGGUGUAGCCUCGCAGAACUUCUGCUCCAAUGCCGACUGUGCAUGAAGCGAUCGCUGCAGUCAACGGAGAGACUGAGGCCUCGAUAGCUCCCAUACUCCAAGUUCUUGAAAGGGAGGGUUAUGAUGUGAACACUGAGGCAGGAGGCGCAUUUCGUCGUCUCAACGUAAAUGACCUGCAAUCACAACUUAACCUCCGGCAACACAACACCCUGAAAGAGGCAAUCGAAACAGGCAUGCAUCGACAAACUUAGCUGCUUGUGGAAGCUCAGCGCAUUCCUAGACUGGGUUGGGAGUUUCUCAGGUUUGUCAUUUUGCUGCGGCUGGGCCUGUGACUGGGCUCGCGAUGAGCACUUGUAACGACGCAAAUGCCAAUCUGAGCAUCCCGGGUUA